UAGAAUCAAGUGACUAAGCGUAUGUGGUGGAUGCCUAGGCGGUAAGAGGCGAUGAAGGACGUUGUAGCAUGCGAUAAGCCCCGGUUAGUCUGCAAACAGACAUUGAUCCGAGGAUUUCCGAAUGGGGAAACCCGGCACCAUAAGGUGUCAUCCCUAACUGAAUACAUAGGUUAGGCGAAGCAAACCCGGAGAACUGAAACAUCUAAGUACCCGGAGGAAAAGAAAUCAACCGAGAUUCCCCAAGUAGCGGCGAGCGAAAGGGGAGCAGCCGAGCAAUAUAGUUAUAGAAGAACACUCUGGAAAGUGUGACCAUAGUGGGUGAUAGUCCCGUAUUUGAAAUAACUUUAUUGACGUAUUAAGUAGGUCGGGGCACGAGAAACCUUGACUGAAGAUAGGGGGACCAUCCUCUAAGGCUAAAUACUCCUUACCGACCGAUAGUGAACCAGUACUGUGAAGGAAAGGCGAAAAGAACCCCGGAGAGGGGAGUGAAAUAGAACCUGAAACCGCAUACGUACAAGCAGUGGGAGCCUCCUUUGAGGGGUGACUGCGUACCUUUUGUAUAAUGGGUCAGCGACUUAAUUUUAGUAGCAAGGUUAACCGUUAGGGGAGCCGUAGGGAAACCGAGUCUUAAUAGGGCGUUUAGUUGCUAGGAUUAGACCCGAAACCGAGCGAUCUAUCCAUGGCCAGGUUGAAGGUGCCGUAACAGGCACUGGAGGACCGAACCCACGUAUGUUGAAAAAUGCAGGGAUGAGCUGUGGAUCGGAGUGAAAGGCUAAUCAAGCUCGGAGAUAGCUGGUUCUCCUCGAAAUCUAUUUAGGUAGAGCCUCGUAUAUAACUCCUGGGGGUAGAGCACUGUUAUGGCUAGGGGGCCCUGACCGGCUUACCAACCCAUUGCAAACUCCGAAUACCAGGAAGUUCAGUACGGGAGACACACGGCGGGUGCUAACGUCCGUCGUGGAAAGGGAAACAACCCAGACCGCCAGCUAAGGUCCCAAAAUUACAGCUCAGUGGGAAACGAUGUGGGAAGGCAUAGACAGCUAGGAGGUUGGCUUAGAAGCAGCCAUCCUUUAAAGAAAGCGUAAUAGCUCACUAGUCGAGUCGGCCUGCGCGGAAGAUUUAACGGGGCUAAGCUGUAUACCGAAGCUGCGGAAUUACAAUUUAUUGUAAUUGGUAGAGGAGCGUUCUGUAAGCCGUUGAAGGUGGUGUCGUAAGGCCUGCUGGAGGUAUCAGAAGUGCGAAUGCUGACAUGAGUAACGAUAAGACGGGUGAAAAACCCGUCCGCCGAAAACCCAAGGUUUCCUGCGCAACGCUAAUCGGCGCAGGGUUAGUCGGAUCCUAAGGCGAGGCCGAAAGGCGUAGUCGAUGGAAAACAGGUUAAUAUUCCUGUACCGCUAUUAUAUGCGAUGGGGUGACGGAGAAGGCUAGACCAGAACACAGUUGGUUUUGUGUAUCUAAGCGUUUAGGUGUAGGACUUAGGCAAAUCCGGGUCCUUUUAACACUGAUGCGUGAAUGCGACGAUCUUACGAGAUUGGAGUGGUCGAUGCCAUGCUUCCAGGAAAACCCUCUAAGCUUCAGUAUAAUAGUGUCCGUACCCCAAACCAACACAGGUGGGUGGGAUGAGAAUUCUAAGGCGCUUGAGAGAACUCUGGUGAAGGAACUAGGCAAAAUGGUACCGUAACUUCGGGAGAAGGUACGCCCCCUGCGGUUCACGCUGCGGGGGGCCACAGAAACUAGGUGGCUGCGACUGUUUAACAAAAACACAGCACUCUGCAAACUCGAAAGAGGACGUAUAGGGUGUGACGCCUGCCCGGUGCCGGAAGGUUAAUUGAUGGGGUUAUCUUCGGAGAAGCUCUUGAUCGAAGCCCCGGUAAACGGCGGCCGUAACUAUAACGGUCCUAAGGUAGCGAAAUUCCUUGUCGGGUAAGUUCCGACCUGCACGAAUGGCGUAACGACGGCCACACUGUCUCCACCAGAGGCUCAGUGAAAUUGAAAUCGCGGUUAAGAUGCCGUGUACCCGUGGCUAGACGGAAAGACCCCGUGCACCUUUACUACAGCUUUGCACUGAACAUUGGGCCUACUUGUGUAGGAUAGGUGGGAGACUUUGAAACCGGGACGCUAGUUCUGGUGGAGUCAACCUUGAAAUACCACCCUGGUAUGUCUGAUGUUCUAACCCAGUUCCCUUAUCGGGAUCGGGGACAGUGUAUGGUGGGUAGUUUGACUGGGGCGGUCUCCUCCUAAAGAGUAACGGAGGAGCGCGACGGUUCGCUAAUCCCGGUCGGAAAUCGGGAGGUUUGUGCAAAGGCAAAAGCGAGCUUGACUGCGAGACUGACACGUCGAGCAGGUACGAAAGUAGGUCUUAGUGAUCCGGUGGUUCUGUAUGGAAGGGCCAUCGCUCAACGGAUAAAAGGUACGCCGGGGAUAACAGGCUGAUACCGCCCAAGAGUUCAUAUCGACGGCGGUGUUUGGCACCUCGAUGUCGGCUCAUCACAUCCUGGGGCUGAAGCAGGUCCCAAGGGUAUGGCUGUUCGCCAUUUAAAGUGGUACGCGAGCUGGGUUCAGAACGUCGUGAGACAGUUCGGUCCCUAUCUGCCAUGGGCGUUAGAAUCUUGAGGGAAGCUUCUCCUAGUACGAGAGGACCGGAGUGGACGAACCUCUGGUGUACCUGUUGUCACGCCAGUGGCAUAGCAGGGUAGCUAAGUUCGGACGGGAUAAACGCUGAAAGCAUCUAAGCGUGAAGCCCCUCCCAAGAUGAGGAUUCUCUGGGGACUAGAUCCCCCUAAAGGGCCGUUGAAGACUACGACGUUGAUAGGCACCAUGUGGAAGUUCAGUAAUGAAUGUAGCUAAGGUGUACUAAUUGCCCGUGAGGCUUGAUUCUA
This 2876-nucleotide ribosomal RNA is filed under the name Cocleimonas flava. RNAcentral's name for it is "23S ribosomal RNA". It matches the Rfam family "Bacterial large subunit ribosomal RNA". The record is from RNAcentral. Lineage: Bacteria; Pseudomonadati; Pseudomonadota; Gammaproteobacteria; Thiotrichales; Thiotrichaceae.